Molecule: ribosomal RNA, 490 nt
Filed under: uncultured bacterium
Lineage: Bacteria
Description: partial 16S ribosomal RNA
Rfam family: Bacterial small subunit ribosomal RNA
Source: RNAcentral
AGUGAACGCUGGCGGUAGGCCUAACACAUGCAAGUCGAACGGCAGCACAGUAAGAGCUUGCUCUUACGGGUGGCGAGUGGCGGACGGGUGAGGAAUACAUCGGAAUCUACUUUUUCGUGGGGGAUAACGUAGGGAAACUUACGCUAAUACCGCAUACGACCUACGGGGGAAAGCAGGGGAUAUUCGGACCUUGCGCGAUUGAAUGAGCCGAUGUCGGAUUAGCUAGUUGGCGGGGUAAAGGCCCACCAAGGCGACGAUCCGUAGCUGGUCUGAGAGGAUGAUCAGCCACACUGGGACUGAGACACGGUCCAGACUCCUACGGGAGGCAGCAGUGGGGAAUAUUGGACAAUGGGCGCAAGCCUGAUCCAGCCAUACCGCGUGGGUGAAGAAGGCCUUCGGGUUGUAAAGCCCUUUUGUUGGGAAAGAAAAGCAGCAGGUUAAUACCCCGCUGUUCUGACGGUACCCAAAGAAUACGCACCGGCUAACUUCG